CAGUCGCCACGGGAAUACGGAGGGAGCUAGCGUCGUUCGGAAUUACUGGGCGUAAAGCGCGCGUAGGCGGUUACUCAAGUCAGAGGUGAAAGCCCGGGGCUCAACCCCGGAACAGCCCUUGAGACUGGAUAACUUGAAUCCAGGAGAGGUGAGUGGAAUUCCGAGUGUAGAGGUGAAAUUCGUAGAUAUUCGGAAGAACACCAGUGGCGAAGGCGGCUCACUGGACUGGUAUUGACGCUGAGGUGCGAAAGCGUGGGGAGCAAACAGGAUUAGAUACCCCUGUAGUCCCUGUCUCUUAUAA
RNAcentral lists this ribosomal RNA (301 nucleotides) under uncultured bacterium. RNAcentral's name for it is "partial 16S ribosomal RNA". It matches the Rfam family "Bacterial small subunit ribosomal RNA", at positions 509 to 809 of the family's 1533-position model. The record is from RNAcentral.